This 412-nucleotide long non-coding RNA is filed under the name Capsella grandiflora. RNAcentral's name for it is "long non-coding RNA (CGRA_LNC000967)". The record is from RNAcentral. Lineage: Eukaryota; Viridiplantae; Streptophyta; Magnoliopsida; Brassicales; Brassicaceae.
AUUAUUCGCAUAGUGACAAUAUAUAUGAGUGUGGGAUCAAAGAGCAACUUAAGAAAGUGAGUGAGAGAGAGAUGACAAAUUUGAGACUUGUGUUCUUCUUGCCUCUAUUGGUUCUUUUGCUCUAACGACUGUGCUCUUGCGUCUUCACAAGAGUUACCCCAAUCAUCAUCAGGUUUAGUCUUGACUCUUGAGACAUGUAUCCCCAUUGAUUUUAGUUGUCUUUCUAAUCGAAUUCUAGCAAAAAAAAGUUUAUAAAAAGAUGCAUAUAUGUAUUAUCCUUUCGAAAAACCAAUAAAACUUUUAAGUGUAUGAUGCUAGUUUUAGGAAAUCAUUUCUCAAUUAUUAAAUUUAUGUGCCCAUUUCAUUACAUACAAGUUUCGUGAAGUUCAUUUUUUGUAUUUUUUUCUGGUUU